CUCGCACGGUAUCUAAUGGCGGGCAUUUGAGAUUCAUGAAAAAGUGUAAACAGUUAUUUUGAAAUGUUAUGACUGGCUAAAGAGACUUACCGUCGUAUCAGGGGCGUAGUUGAUUUUGUUCUUCUAGUAUCUUGAGAUUUACCAAUAAUGCUCUCUCUGUCAAUUCGUCAGGUCUCUCAGUUUUUACGUGAUGGUUUAUUGUUGCCGAGCAGUUUGUGUGAGGAGUGCUUGGCAAGAUCUCGACGCAUUGAAGAGCUUAACGCAUUCAUACGCAUUGAAGAAAAGUUGGCACGCGCACAGGCAUCAGAAUCGAAUAUUCGAUAUAAAGAUGGUUGUCCACAGGGCCCACUUGAUGGUGUCCCUGUAGCAGUAAAAGACAAUUUCUGUACAAAGAAUAUAAAAACAACUUGUGCUUCAAGGAUGUUGCAAGACUUUUGCCCUUCAUAUGAUGCAACUGUGGUGCGGAAGCUGAAGGAAAGUGGUGCAAUCUUAUUGGGGAAGUGCAAUAUGGAUGAAUUUGCUAUGGGGUGUGGCACUGUAGAUUCACUCUAUGGUCCCACUAAAAAUAUCUGGCGUUCAAGAUUCCAACGUGUAAAAAAUACUCAAGACAAUCCUUUGCAGCAUGAAGAGCUUGACAGUGGCGAUCAUGCCUCUUUCAAAAAACAACGGAUUCGUGAGUUUCAUACAAUGAGCACCUUGACGCAUGCUGCAGAUGAUGAUGAUAAUGAUGAUUGGCACAUAGCGGGCGGAAGCUCAGGAGGGAGCGCCGUCGCUGUAGCAAGUGGAGCUGUGUUUGCGGCAUUGGGCUCAGAUACAGGUGGCUCUGUGCGCAAUCCUGCUGCAUACUGUGGCAUUGUAGGUUUUAAACCUACGUAUGGUUUGCUGUCAAGGUAUGGUCUCAUACCUCUUGUGAAUUCAAUGGAUGUGCCAGGCGUACUUACCAGAACAGUUGAUGAUGCAGUAACAAUGUUUAACAUUCUAGCUGGCCACGACCCAAUGGACUCGACUACAGUGCGUAAACCAUUUUUGCCAGUUUGUCUUCCUAAGGAUCUAGAUGUUAAGGGUCUGCGAGUGGGUGUGCCUGCAGAGUACCACUGCCCUGGGCUGUCCACAGAGGUGCUGGCAGCGUGGACUGAGGUUGCAGAUUUACUGGAACAUAAUGGAGCAGUUGUUUCACAGGUAUCCUUACCACAUACACAGCUGUCAAUAGCAUGUUAUUCGGUUCUGAAUCACACUGAAGUUGCUAGCAACAUGGCUCGCUAUGAUGGCAUCGAAUAUGGAUACCGGGCAAAUGAAAGCAAUUCAGCUGAAGCACUCUUCGCUGCUUCUCGCAGAUCUGGCUUUGGUGAGGUUGUUCGCAGCCGAAUUCUCUCUGGGAACUAUUUCCUCCUGAGAAGGAAUUACAACAAGUACUUCGUACAAGCAUUGAAACUGCGAAGGCUGAUAGCUCAGGAUUUUGAACAGGUGUGGUCUUUGGGUGUUGAUGUGCUGCUGACACCAGUAACUAUGACUGAUGCUCCAAGGCACUCAGAAUUUGUCAAGCUGGACAAUAGACAACAAUGCAGUGGUCAAGACUAUUGCACACAGCCUGCCAACCUCGCAGGUUUACCUGCCAUCAGUGUUCCAGUGAAGCUAUCCAAAAAUGGUCUACCACUCAGUUUGCAGUUAAUGGCACCCAGGUUCAAAGAACAUAAGUUGUUUCGCACUGCCAAAUGGAUUGAAGAAAGUUUAAAAUUUCCUGCAGCUGAACUAGCCAUGUGAAACAAAUGCAGUGUUACAAAAAGAUUCUGCACAACUCUUCUUUGAUUUUUACUUUAUCCAUAAUGGAUAUGAGACAGAUACAUUUUCAUGGAACUGUCUGGUGUUGGUGAGGCUUUGGGAGCAACAGUGGGACUCGCUCACUGUGUUUCUCAAGAGGAAUAUGGCCUCCCUGGCUGGUGCCAACAGUCUUCGACAUCAAGAAGUUCGACCCAUGUACCACCUGGUCUUAACUUGGCUCAGCGGCUGUGUAACUGAGCAUCUGCAAUGUUAGCACUGCUUAUCCAGCAAUGGUAUUGUUUGGCUGCUCCUGUCACAUAUCUGACCAGCUGUCAGCUUCUGGUACACUGAACACCCAACGUUCUUCACUUCCCUCUUUAGAAUUCCCCAGAGCUGUGUGAAGGAAAUUUAAAUUAUUCUCUGUGAAAUAAAUGAGUGUACACACAAACUAUGAAGAAUUUCUCCGCUCUUGAUGUAUUCUAACCAGGAUAAUCACACACACACACACACACACACACUUAACAGUCCUGAAAUCACACCAAAUAAUUUCCAACAUAAAAUUGUGAUGUAACUCUGGUGUUCCCUUGCAAACAUGUAUGAUAGUAAAUUUCACAAAGUGUUUGUUAUAUAUUUUGUCAGUGUUAAUAGCCAAACACAUUUAAAUGUACGUAUGUAUUAUUUGUGAACUAUUUAUUGAACACUGGAUUCACUAGGUUGACAUCAGGAGACUCAAAAUACUUCCAGGUUUAAGGGAACAAUCAAAUACUUCUCUGGGUACCUGUCGUCGAAAUAGUGAAUUAUGUAAAUUGUUUUGUCUUGUAGCUCCUCCACUAAGGUUCCCUUCAUUGCAAUGUCAAGCAAUUUGUGACAUGCUAACUACAAAAAGAUUUAUGUGAAUUAAAAAAUUUAACUUCAAAAUAUUUAUUACAAAAAUUUCAGCAUAACGAAACUCGGUCUUGACAUCGCAUAAUCUGGUACAAACAUGUGUGGAUACCACCACUGAUACUUAUAUAAAGUUACUAUAAUGAAGGUCAAGUUCAUGCAUUUUUAUUUGAGGACAUUUCAUAAAUUAUAAGUAUAGUUUCACAUUCCUGGACAGCUGAUAAAUAAUUUCAGAUUUGUUUUUGUAUGGACUUCCAUGUGUGAUUAUAAUUUAACAGAAAUACAUUUACUAACUUGCACAAAUUUGAUGUCUUAUUUGUUCAAACAAUGCUUCAGCUGAAAAUUUUAAGUACUUCAAUAUUAUCUAAUAGUGUUUUGUUCCUACCAUGUUUUUGCUGUAGUUUUGUUGUAUGCUAUUAAUACAUUCUGAAUGCCGACACAAAAUUUGUAAGUAUACCAGUCACAGUGUUUGUUUACUUCACAUGACAACUAACAAGUCUUGACAGUACAGCAUCCAUCCUAAUGCACUGAAAAUACAAAAUAGGUUUACCAGAUACAUACCAAACAUUGUUUUAUCCGAACAACAGUGUUACAAAGUGUAGAAAACUAGAUAUGCUUCACAUAUCCAGCGAGCUAUAAGACUAUCACAGUCUCCUAGUGCCUGGUAUUGAUCUGUUCAUUAUGUACUUUCCCAUUCUGCUACAUCAUACAUCCACUUUUAAUAAUGAUGGGUUUGGCAGUAGCCAUUGCUGAAUACUGUUUUUCAUUUCACUGUGCUGUGGUCGGGAUCGUCAUGUGAGGAUGUAUUAAAUAGCAGAAGCAGUUCCUGGUCUGUCACAGCCUAGUUUUGCUUCAGAUUCCUCGUUGACACAUUCUCCCCAUUGUGGAAUUCCAGUUAAUGUUGUGAGCAUUAGGUAAUGACUUCAGUGGACUACCAUAUAAGGAUACAGACAGUGUGAUGCGUGAAGGUUCUGGGUUGAUCCAGGGAGCAAGCGUGGAUAGCCGCAGUGGUUAAGGUGACUGCUCGUGAUAAGUGGGAUAUCAGGGUUCGAGGCCCAGUCUGGCACAAAUUUUUAAAUUUCACUGUUGGGUAGUAGAUCUAAACCAUAUACAGGUGAUGUCAAGGAAUUCCCAUUCAGGGAAUUAAUUUUGAAUUAUUUUGUACAGCUGUGGAUUGUCAAUAGAGUUUGUUCUUUCAAACAUGCGUGUAAGAAUUAGACAUCUGCCUCAAAUCAUUUAUUCUUGCAGGCAUGUGUGGUGUGACCAAUUGUGACUGUCUCCUUAACAAUAAUAAACAGUGUACUUGCUUUUU
Molecule: RNA transcript, 3952 nt
Organism: Schistocerca cancellata (South American locust)
Lineage: Eukaryota; Metazoa; Arthropoda; Insecta; Orthoptera; Acrididae
Gene: GatA
Gene name: glutamyl-tRNA(Gln) amidotransferase subunit A, mitochondrial
Exons: 10
Source: RefSeq, a predicted model, not a curated record